This 1382-nucleotide ribosomal RNA is filed under the name uncultured bacterium. Its description in RNAcentral is "partial 16S ribosomal RNA". It matches the Rfam family "Bacterial small subunit ribosomal RNA". The record is from RNAcentral.
GAAUUCGCCCUUAGAGUUUGAUCCUGGCUCAGGACGAACGCUGGCGGCGCGCCUAACACAUGCAAGUCGAACGAGCGAGAGGAGGUUUACUUUCUCAAGCGAGUGGCGAACGGGUGAGUAACGCGUGAGGAACCUGCCUCAAAGAGGGGGACAACAGUUGGAAACGACUGCUAAUACCGCAUAAGCCCACGACCCGGCAUCGGGUAGAGGGAAAAGGAGCAAUCCGCUUUGAGAUGGCCUCGCGUCCGAUUAGCUAGUUGGUGAGGUAAUGGCCCACCAAGGCGACGAUCGGUAGCCGGACUGAGAGGUUGAACGGCCACAUUGGGACUGAGACACGGCCCAGACUCCUACGGGAGGCAGCAGUGGGGAAUAUUGCACAAUGGGGGAAACCCUGACGCAGCGACGCCGCGUGCGGGACGGAGGCCUUCGGGUCGUAAACCGCUUUCAGCAGGGAAGAGUCAAGACUGUACCUGCAGAAGAAGCCCCGGCUAACUACGUGCCAGCAGCCGCGGUAAUACGUAGGGGGCGAGCGUUAUCCGGAUUCAUUGGGCGUAAAGCGCGCGUAGGCGGCCCGGCAGGCCGGGGGUCGAAGCGGGGGGCUCAACCCCCCGAAGCCCCCGGAACCUCCGCGGCUUGGGUCCGGUAGGGGGAGGGUGGAACACCCGGUGUAGCGGUGGAAUGCGCAGAUAUCGGGUGGAACACCGGUGGCGAAGGCGGCCCUCUGGGCCGAGACCGACGCUGAGGCGCGAAAGCUGGGGGAGCGAACAGGAUUAGAUACCCUGGUAGUCCCAGCCGUAAACGAUGGACGCUAGGUGUGGGGGGGCGAUCCCCCCGUGCCGCAGCCAACGCAUUAAGCGUCCCGCCUGGGGAGUACGGCCGCAAGGCUAAAACUCAAAGGAAUUGACGGGGGCCCGCACAAGCAGCGGAGCAUGUGGUUUAAUUCGACGCAACGCGAAGAACCUUACCAAGUCUUGACAUCCCGCGACGCACAUAGAAAUAUGUGUUUCCUUCGGGACGCAGAGACAGGUGGUGCAUGGUUGUCGUCAGCUCGUGUCGUGAGAUGUUGGGUUAAGUCCCGCAACGAGCGCAACCCUUACUGUCAGUUACUACGCAAGAGGACUCUGGCAGGACUGCCGUUGACAAAACGGAGGAAGGUGGGGAUGACGUCAAAUCAUCAUGCCCUUUAUGACUUGGGCUACACACGUACUACAAUGGCGUUAAACAAAGAGAAGCAAGACCGCGAGGUGGAGCAAAACUCAGAAACAACGUCCCAGUUCGGACUGCAGGCUGCAACUCGCCUGCACGAAGUCGGAAUUGCUAGUAAUCGUGGAUCAGCAUGCCACGGUGAAUACGUUCCCGGGCCUUGUACACACCGCCCGUCA